UAUAGAUUCUACAGCCACAGGAUCGUUUGGCCCUCCUCGUAUACGUCCACCAGUUUGAUUUGAAUUCCUUUUGAAAAGGUAUAUUCUUUAAAUGAUCAUAAGCCUUCUGAAUGGAUUCAUAUGUUGGCUGAUCUGAGCAGAUGUUAGAGAGCGAUGACAUAGAGUUCAGUCCUCGGAUUUGUAAUAAAGAAUUUCGGGUACGAGGCAAACCCAAUUUUCUGGCAAGUUUGGCGGUGACAAAAUUAGACAUACUGCCUGAAUCAAUUAG
This is a non-coding RNA of Onthophagus taurus, 268 nucleotides long. The record is from RefSeq and is a predicted model, not a curated record. NCBI's taxonomy places the organism in Eukaryota, Metazoa, Arthropoda, Insecta, Coleoptera, Scarabaeidae.